CGGAGGGACACCACUUACCACUUCUGUCCAGCCUGAAUAUUUACCAUUAAUGGCAACUCGUUGUACUCUAUCCUUAAGCCAAUGUUCUACCCAAGAACAUUCAUCUUGACCAAUUUCUUUUAGUUUGUAUAUUUACACACACUAUAUGUAUAUAUGCCAGUAUUUAAAAUCUCAUAUUAACCCAUUCUGUGCCAGUCACCGAUAGAUCCCCCAUUAACCCAUUCUGUGCAAGAUCUCCCAUUAACCCAUUCUGUCCUAGUCACUGAUAGAUCCUCCAUUAACCCAUUCUGUGCCAGUCACUAAUAGACUGUGCCAUUCUGUGCCAGUCGCCGAUAGAUCCCCCCCAUUAACCCAUUCUGUGCCAGUCACCAAUAGACUGUGCCAUUCUGUGCCAGUCGCCGAUAAAUCCCCCCAUUAACCCAUUCUGUGCCAGUCACUGAUAAACCCCACAUUAUCCCAUUCUGUGCCAGUCACCAAUAGACCCCCGAUUAACCUAUUCUGUGCCAGUCACCGAUAGAUCCCCGAUUAACCUAUUCUGUGCCAGUCACCGAUAGAUCCCCAUUAACCUAUUCUGUGCCAGUCACCGAUAGAUCCCCCAUUAACCUAUUCUGUGCCUGUCAUCGAUAGAUCCGCCAUUAACCUAUUCUGUGCCAGCCACCGAUAGAUCCCCCAUUAACCUAUUCUAAGCCAGUCACCAAUAGAUCUGCCAUUAACCCAUGCUGUGCCAGAUACCGAUAGAUCUCCCAUUAACCCAUUCUCUGUCAGUCGCCGAUAGAUCUCCCAUUAACCCAUUCUGUGCCAGUCACUGAUAUAUCUCCUAUUAACCCAUUCUGUGCCAGUCAUGAUAGAUCCACCCUUGACCCAUUUUGUGCCAGUCACCGAUAGAGCCCCAUAAACCCAUUCUGUGCCAGAUCUCCCAUUAACC
Pelobates cultripes (western spadefoot toad) is the source of this 925-nucleotide non-coding RNA. Lineage: Eukaryota; Metazoa; Chordata; Amphibia; Anura; Pelobatidae. The record is from the annotation of a GenBank genome assembly.